RNAcentral lists this unclassified non-coding RNA (329 nucleotides) under soil metagenome. RNAcentral's name for it is "partial contains 5.8S ribosomal RNA, internal transcribed spacer 2, and large subunit ribosomal RNA". The stretch from base 1 to 120 matches the Rfam family "5.8S ribosomal RNA", at positions 35 to 154 of the family's 154-position model. The record is from RNAcentral.
GAUGAAGAACGUAGCGAAAUGCGAUAAGUAAUGUGAAUUGCAGAAUUCAGUGAAUCAUCGAAUCUUUGAACGCACAUUGCGCCCCCUGGUAUUCCGGGGGGCAUGCCUGUCCGAGCGUCAUUACAACCCUCGAGCUCAGCUUGGUAUUGGGCCCCGCCGACCCGGCGGGCCCUAAAGUCAGUGGUGGUGCCGUCCGGCUCCGAGCGUAGUAAUUCUUCUCGCUCUGGAGGUCCGGUCGUGUGCUCGCCAGCAACCCCCAAUUUUUUUCAGGUUGACCUCGGAUCAGGUAGGGAUACCCGCUGAACUUAAGCAUAUCAAUAAGCGGAGGA